GGGCCCGCACAAGCGGAGGAACAUGUGGUUUAAUUCGAUGAUACGCGAGGAACCUUACCCGGGCUUGAACUGCCGGCGAACGAUACAGAGAUGUUGAGGCCCUUCGGGGCGCCGGUGGAGGUGCUGCAUGGUUGUCGUCAGCUCGUGCCGUGAGGUGUCGGCUUAAGUGCCAUAACGAGCGCAACCCCUCUCUUCAGUUGCCAUCAGGUAGCGCUGGGCACUCUGGAGACACUGCCACCGUAAGGUGUGAGGAAGGUGGGGAUGACGUCAAAUCAGCACGGCCCUUACGUCCGGGGCUACACACGUGUUACAAUGGGGGGUACAGAAAGUCGGUGUGAUGUAAAUCACAUCAAAUCCAUAAAGCCCUCCUCAGUUCGGACUGGGGUCUGCAACCCGACCCCACGAAGCUGGAUUCGCUAGUAAUCGCGCAUCAGCCAUGGCGCGGUGAAUACGUUCCCGGGCCUU
This 465-nucleotide ribosomal RNA is filed under the name uncultured bacterium. RNAcentral describes it as "bacterial SSU rRNA". It matches the Rfam family "Bacterial small subunit ribosomal RNA", at positions 917 to 1382 of the family's 1533-position model. The record is from RNAcentral.